GACGAACGCUGGCGGCGUGCUUAACACAUGCAAGUCGAGCGAUGAAGUUCCUUCGGGAAUGGAUUAGCGGCGGACGGGUGAGUAACACGUGGGUAACCUGCCUCAUAGAGGGGAAUAGCCUUCCGAAAGGAAGAUUAAUACCGCAUAAGAUUGUAGUAUCGCAUGAUACAGCAAUUAAAGGAGUAAUUCGCUAUGAGAUGGACCCGCGUCGCAUUAGCUAGUUGGUGAGGUAACGGCUCACCAAGGCGACGAUGCGUAGCCGACCUGAGAGGGGGAUCGGGCACAAUGGGACUGAGACACGGCCCAGACUCCUACGGGAGGCAGCAGUGGGGAAUAUUGCACAAUGGGGGAAACCCUGAUGCAGCAACGCCGCGUGAGUGAUGACGGUCUUCGGAUUGUAAAACUCUGUCUUCAGGGACGAUAAUGACGGUACCUGAGGAGGAAGCCACGGCUAACUACGUGCCAGCAGCCGCGGUAA
RNAcentral lists this ribosomal RNA (478 nucleotides) under uncultured bacterium. RNAcentral describes it as "partial 16S ribosomal RNA". It matches the Rfam family "Bacterial small subunit ribosomal RNA", at positions 28 to 523 of the family's 1533-position model. The record is from RNAcentral.